GGGUCAGCUGUCCUGACUGUGUCCCUUCCCAACAUCUUGCCCUUCUCCCCAGCCUGCUGGUGAGGGGGAAUGUUGGAGGCACAAGAUUGAUGCCAUGAAAUUAAACAAGAAAUUAAAUAAACCAAAGACAAUAUAUCACAAAACAAGUAACUUGAGAAGUGCUAUUUAAGCCAGAAGUUAUAUUCCACAGGAUACCACCUGACAAAUCAAAUGUUUUGAACCUUGCAAGCCUGACGUCAAACAUCCAGAGUUCAGAAGAACAUUUAAGCGUGCAUUAAAUAAGAGAAUGAAAGACUGCAAUGAAAAGGCAAAUAGUUUCACUUAACAACUGGCAGCAAUUCAGUGGACAAAAAGAAAAGGAUAUAUCAUGGAAACCUUUUGUAUGGCUAAAUCAAAUUGUUUAAUUGCAAGCAAUAUUAAACCCAUUGUUAAGAUAAAUAUUAACCAUGGACAAAAGCAAAUAUCAGGGAAGACAAGAAUAAAAUGUGGAUACCUUUCCCCCAGCUGUUCUUUAGACUGUUAGAAGCUUGACUCUGCCAUGUUCAUUCUGGAUGUUGCACCUUUGUUCAUGAAACAUCUUUCCACUCUUUCAUCAGGUCUGGGGCUGUAAUGCUGUUGUCCUGUGGUGGCACCUGAAAAGAACAUGUAAAGAAGAAACAGUGAAUAUAUGAA
Pezoporus flaviventris is the source of this 672-nucleotide long non-coding RNA. RefSeq lists it as uncharacterized. The record is from RefSeq and is a predicted model, not a curated record. Lineage: Eukaryota; Metazoa; Chordata; Aves; Psittaciformes; Psittacidae. The transcript has 5 exons.